Equus quagga is the source of this 438-nucleotide long non-coding RNA. RefSeq lists it as uncharacterized. The transcript has 4 exons. The record is from RefSeq and is a predicted model, not a curated record. NCBI's taxonomy places the organism in Eukaryota, Metazoa, Chordata, Mammalia, Perissodactyla, Equidae.
CCUGGCGGACACUCACCCACAUCAGCUGCUUCCGGAGCCUCUGGAUGGCCCUCGCAUUGGCGUGGGACUGGGAGACGCACACGGUCAGGACAAGGCUUUGGACAGAUGGGGAUUCAAGGUGGGACCACCCCAUCUCCUCCUACAGUUCUGGCCAGGAUUAAGUGAAUGUAUGUCAGUCGCCUGGUACCUCCUUGUUGUCCUGCGAAUACUUGGUGGCCCAGAAGAUGGCACUGAUGGCCCCGACCACCAGGAGCCCAAUGAGGAUGUUGACCCGCAGAAGUCCCAGGAGGAGAAGACCUUGGCACUGAGAGGGGCCAGGGCCUUCCUGAUGACCUGGGAGUGCCAUGCCAAGGGAGGGUGAUCAGGGAAGACCCCCUGGGAGGAGGCAGAGGCGUGGGGCACCCCCUCUCACCGCCGGAGAGUCCCACAGAAGCAGAG